CUUCGCAAGAGAUGCCGUGGAUGAAUGCAUAAACGACGACAACGACAGUGUGACUAGGCUACGAGCCCGCCACUGGAGCCCGCUCGCAUUUGAACAAUACAGUCACAACAUCAACAGCGUGCACAUCGAACGGAAGUCUUCGCAAGAGAUGCCGUGGAUGAAUGCAUAAACGACGACAACGACAGUGUGACUAGGCUACGAGCCCGCCACUGGAGCCCGCUCGCAUUUGAACAAUACAGUCACAACAUCAACAGCGUGCACAUCGAACGGAAGUCUUCGCAAGAGAUGCCGUGGAUGAAUGCAUAAACGACGACAACGACAGUGUGACUAGGCUACGAGCCCGCCACUGGAGCCCGCUCGCAUUUGAACAAUACAGUCACAACAUCAACAGCGUUAGUUACGCAUUUACAUUCAAUAAAUCGUGGACGUCAAAAUAGAAAAUUCCGUUAAAGAUUUUAACUUUAAAGUCGUGAAUUCACUAUUCUUUUUACUUGACGAAGUGCGUUCGCAGGUGCACAUCAAACAGAAAUCUUCGCAAGAGAUGCCGUGGAUGAAUGCGUGAACGACGACAACGACAGUGUGACUAGGCUACGAGCACGCCACUGGAGCCCGCUCGCAU
Long non-coding RNA from Ornithodoros turicata, 619 nucleotides. RefSeq lists it as uncharacterized. The transcript is spliced from 3 exons. NCBI's taxonomy places the organism in Eukaryota, Metazoa, Arthropoda, Arachnida, Ixodida, Argasidae. The record is from RefSeq and is a predicted model, not a curated record.